UGAGGAAUAUUGGUCAAUGGGCGAGAGCCUGAACCAGCCAAGUAGCGUGAAGGAUGACUGCCCUAUGGGUUGUAAACUUCUUUUAUAAAGGAAUAAAGUCGGGUAUGGAUACCCGUUUGCAUGUACUUUAUGAAUAAGGAUCGGCUAACUCCGUGCCAGCAGCCGCGGUAAUAAGGAGGAUCCGAGCGUUAUCCGGAUUUAUUGGGUUUAAAGGGAGCGUAGAUGGAUGUUUAAGUCAGUUGUGAAAGUUGGCGGCUCAACCGUAAAAUUGCAGUUGAUACUGGAUAUCUUGAGUGCAGUUGAGGCAGGCGGAAUUCGUGGUGUAGCGGUGAAAUGCUUAGAUAUCACGAAGAACUCCGAUUGCGAAGGCAGCCUGCUAAGCUGCAACUGACAUUGAGGCUCGAAAGUGUGGGUAUCAAACA
This 422-nucleotide ribosomal RNA is filed under the name uncultured prokaryote. RNAcentral's name for it is "bacterial SSU rRNA". It matches the Rfam family "Bacterial small subunit ribosomal RNA", at positions 355 to 774 of the family's 1533-position model. The record is from RNAcentral.